This 199-nucleotide long non-coding RNA is filed under the name Elaeis guineensis (African oil palm). Its description in RNAcentral is "long non-coding RNA (EGUI_LNC036169)". The record is from RNAcentral. Lineage: Eukaryota; Viridiplantae; Streptophyta; Magnoliopsida; Arecales; Arecaceae.
CUUGGGAGCUUGAUGUCUCUUCUUGAUUUGCUCUCUUAAAAAUUAUUUUCAAUUUCUUCCAAAUUUGGUUAGCUAAAAUAUAUGAAGAAAUCAAGUUAAAUUUAUUUAACUCUAAUAAAUAAUAAAAAAUAUUCAUAGUCUUAGCAUUUAGUUGGAUUAUUUCUUUAUCAUCUAUUAAUGCAUUAGGUGUGUGUAAGCC